UACGGAGGAUGCAAGCGUUAUCCGGAAUGAUUGGGCGUAAAGCGUCCGCAGGUGGCUGUGUAAGUCUGCUUUUAAAUAGUCUAGCUCAACUAGAUAAAGGCAGUGGAAACCACACGGCUAGAGUGCGUUCGGGGCAGAGGGAAUUCCUGGUGUAGCGGUGGAAUGCGCAGAUAUCAGGAGGAACACCAAUAGCGAAGGCAGCUCGCUGGGACGGUACUGACGCUAAGGCGCGAAAGCGUGGGGAGCGAACAGG
This 253-nucleotide ribosomal RNA is filed under the name uncultured bacterium. Its description in RNAcentral is "partial 16S ribosomal RNA". It matches the Rfam family "Bacterial small subunit ribosomal RNA", at positions 524 to 776 of the family's 1533-position model. The record is from RNAcentral.